This 448-nucleotide ribosomal RNA is filed under the name uncultured bacterium. Its description in RNAcentral is "bacterial SSU rRNA". It matches the Rfam family "Bacterial small subunit ribosomal RNA", at positions 330 to 792 of the family's 1533-position model. The record is from RNAcentral.
UCCAGACUCCUACGGGAGGCAGCAGUGGGGAAUAUUGCACAAUGGGGGAAACCCUGAUGCAGCGACGCCGCGUGAGCGAAGAAGUAUUUCGGUAUGUAAAGCUCUCUCAGCAGGGAAGAAAAAAAUGACGGUACCUGAGUAAGAAGCACCGGCUAAAUACGUGCCAGCAGCCGCGGUAAUACGUAUGGUGCAAGCGUUAUCCGGAUUUACUGGGUGUAAAGGGAGCGUAGGCGGCGCGUUAAGUCUGAUGUGAAAACCCGAGGCUCAACCACGGGAGUGCAUUGGAAACUGGCGGGCUGGAGUGCCGGAGAGGUAAGCGGAAUUCCUAGUGUAGCGGUGAAAUGCGUAGAUAUUAGGAGGAACACCAGUGGCGAAGGCGGCUUACUGGACGGCAACUGACGCUGAAGCUCGAAAGCGUGGGGAGCAAACAGGAUUAGAUACCCUAGUA